Molecule: ribosomal RNA, 891 nt
Filed under: uncultured organism
Description: bacterial SSU rRNA
Rfam family: Bacterial small subunit ribosomal RNA
Source: RNAcentral
AAGUCGAACGGUAACAGGCCUUCGGGCGCUGACGAGUGGCGGACGGGUGAGUAACGCGUAGGAAUCUGCCUUAUAGUGGGGGACAACGUGGGGAAACCCACGCUAAUACCGCAUACGCCCUACGGGGGAAAGGAGGGGAUCUUCGGACCUUUCGCUAUGAGAUGAGCCUGCGUUAGAUUAGCUAGUUGGUAGGGUAAAGGCCUACCAAGGCGACGAUCUAUAGCUGGUCUGAGAGGACGAUCAGCCACACUGGGACUGAGACACGGCCCAGACUCCUACGGGAGGCAGCAGUGGGGAAUAUUGGACAAUGGGCGAAAGCCUGAUCCAGCAAUACCGCGUGUGUGAAGAAGGCCUUAGGGUUGUAAAGCACUUUCAAUUGGGAGGAAAACCUGUCGGUCAAUACCCGGCAGCUUGACAUUACCUUUAGAAGAAGCACCGGCUAACUCCGUGCCAGCAGCCGCGGUAAUACGGAGGGUGCGAGCGUUAAUCGGAAUUACUGGGCGUAAAGCGUGCGUAGGCGGUUCGUUAAGUCAGAUGUGAAAGCCCUGGGCUCAACCUGGGAACUGCAUUUGAAACUGGCGGACUAGAGUUUAGUAGAGGGGAGUGGAAUUUCAGGUGUAGCGGUGAAAUGCGUAGAUAUCUGAAGGAACACCAGUGGCGAAGGCGACUCCCUGGACUAGAACUGACGCUGAGGUACGAAAGCGUGGGUAGCAAACAGGAUUAGAUACCCUGGUAGUCCACGCCGUAAACGAUGUCGACUAGCCGUUGGUCCUAUUUACAGGAUUAGUGGCGCAGCUAACGCAUUAAGUCGACCGCCUGGGGAGUACGGCCGCAAGGUUAAAACUCAAAUGAAUUGACGGGGGCCCGCACAAGCGGUGGAGCAUGUGGUUU